GUGGGGAAUCUUCCGCAAUGGGCGAAAGCCUGACGGAGCAACGCCGCGUGAGUGAAGACGGCCUUCGGGUUGUAAAGCUCUGUUAUAUGGGACGAAUGGGCGUAUGGUCAAUACCCAUACGCCGUGACGGUACCGUAAGAGAAAGCCACGGCUAACUACGUGCCAGCAGCCGCGGUAAUACGUAGGUGGCAAGCGUUGUCCGGAAUCAUUGGGCGUAAAGGGCGCGCAGGCGGUUCGGUAAGUCGGUCUUAAAAGUGCGGGGCUUAACCCCGUGAUGGGAUUGAAACUGCCGGACUGGAGUGUCGGAGAGGAAAGCAGAAUUCCUAGUGUAGCGGUGAAAUGCGUAGAUAUUAGGAGGAAUACCAGUGGCGAAAGCGGCUUUCUGGACGACAACUGACGCUGAGGCGCGAAAGCCAGGGGAGCAAACGGGAUUAGAAACCCUUGUAGUCC
RNAcentral lists this ribosomal RNA (450 nucleotides) under uncultured bacterium. RNAcentral's name for it is "partial 16S ribosomal RNA". It matches the Rfam family "Bacterial small subunit ribosomal RNA", at positions 354 to 796 of the family's 1533-position model. The record is from RNAcentral.